Molecule: transfer RNA, 74 nt
Filed under: Phycisphaerae bacterium
Lineage: Bacteria; Pseudomonadati; Planctomycetota; Phycisphaerae
Description: tRNA-Arg
Rfam family: tRNA
About the family: Transfer RNA (tRNA) molecules are approximately 80 nucleotides in length.
Source: RNAcentral
CUCCGCGUAGCUCAAUUGGAUAGAGCGCCGGCCUCCGAAGCCGGAAGUUGCAGGUUCGAGUCCCGCCGCGGAGG